This 219-nucleotide long non-coding RNA is filed under the name Mytilus galloprovincialis (Mediterranean mussel). The record is from RNAcentral. Lineage: Eukaryota; Metazoa; Mollusca; Bivalvia; Mytilida; Mytilidae.
GAAUUGAGAAUUAUGGGGUCCUUAGCUAUACAUAGAAUUGAGAUGUAUGGGGUGCUAAGAUACAUUGAAUUGAGAAUUAUGGUGUGCUAUGAUACAUUGAAUUUAAAGUUACGGGGUGCUACUAUACAUAGAAUUGAGAUUUAUGGGAUGCUGAGAUACAUUGAAUUGAGAAUUAUAGGGUGCUACAAUACAUAUAAAAGCGUAUUAAAAUAUGUAUUA